Molecule: ribosomal RNA, 1402 nt
Filed under: Enterococcus durans
Lineage: Bacteria; Bacillati; Bacillota; Bacilli; Lactobacillales; Enterococcaceae
Description: bacterial SSU rRNA
Rfam family: Bacterial small subunit ribosomal RNA
Source: RNAcentral
CAGUCGUACGCUUCUUUUUCACCGGAGCUUGCUCCACCGGAAAAAGAAGAGUGGCGAACGGGUGAGUAACACGUGGGUAACCUGCCCAUCAGAAGGGGAUAACACUUGGAAACAGGUGCUAAUACCGUAUAACAAUCGAAACCGCAUGGUUUUGAUUUGAAAGGCGCUUUCGGGUGUCGCUGAUGGAUGGACCCGCGGUGCAUUAGCUAGUUGGUGAGGUAACGGCUCACCAAGGCCACGAUGCAUAGCCGACCUGAGAGGGUGAUCGGCCACAUUGGGACUGAGACACGGCCCAAACUCCUACGGGAGGCAGCAGUAGGGAAUCUUCGGCAAUGGACGAAAGUCUGACCGAGCAACGCCGCGUGAGUGAAGAAGGUUUUCGGAUCGUAAAACUCUGUUGUUAGAGAAGAACAAGGAUGAGAGUAACUGUUCAUCCCUUGACGGUAUCUAACCAGAAAGCCACGGCUAACUACGUGCCAGCAGCCGCGGUAAUACGUAGGUGGCAAGCGUUGUCCGGAUUUAUUGGGCGUAAAGCGAGCGCAGGCGGUUUCUUAAGUCUGAUGUGAAAGCCCCCGGCUCAACCGGGGAGGGUCAUUGGAAACUGGGAGACUUGAGUGCAGAAGAGGAGAGUGGAAUUCCAUGUGUAGCGGUGAAAUGCGUAGAUAUAUGGAGGAACACCAGUGGCGAAGGCGGCUCUCUGGUCUGUAACUGACGCUGAGGCUCGAAAGCGUGGGGAGCAAACAGGAUUAGAUACCCUGGUAGUCCACGCCGUAAACGAUGAGUGCUAAGUGUUGGAGGGUUUCCGCCCUUCAGUGCUGCAGCUAACGCAUUAAGCACUCCGCCUGGGGAGUACGACCGCAAGGUUGAAACUCAAAGGAAUUGACGGGGGCCCGCACAAGCGGUGGAGCAUGUGGUUUAAUUCGAAGCAACGCGAAGAACCUUACCAGGUCUUGACAUCCUUUGACCACUCUAGAGAUAGAGCUUCCCCUUCGGGGGCAAAGUGACAGGUGGUGCAUGGUUGUCGUCAGCUCGUGUCGUGAGAUGUUGGGUUAAGUCCCGCAACGAGCGCAACCCUUAUUGUUAGUUGCCAUCAUUCAGUUGGGCACUCUAGCAAGACUGCCGGUGACAAACCGGAGGAAGGUGGGGAUGACGUCAAAUCAUCAUGCCCCUUAUGACCUGGGCUACACACGUGCUACAAUGGGAAGUACAACGAGUCGCGAAGUCGCGAGGCUAAGCUAAUCUCUUAAAGCUUCUCUCAGUUCGGAUUGUAGGCUGCAACUCGCCUACAUGAAGCCGGAAUCGCUAGUAAUCGCGGAUCAGCACGCCGCGGUGAAUACGUUCCCGGGCCUUGUACACACCGCCCGUCACACCACGAGAGUUUGUAACACCCGAAGUCGGUGAG